Molecule: ribosomal RNA, 253 nt
Filed under: uncultured bacterium
Lineage: Bacteria
Description: partial 16S ribosomal RNA
Rfam family: Bacterial small subunit ribosomal RNA
Source: RNAcentral
UACGAAGGUGGCAAGCGUUACUCGGAAUUACUAGGCGUAAAGGGCAGGUAGGUGGUUUGGCAAGUCUGUUGUGGAAGCUCCCGGCUUAACCGGGAGAGGCCAACGGAAACUGCCAGACUUGAGUGUAGGAGAGGGUAUUGGAAUUCCCGGUGUAGCGGUGAAAUGCGCAGAGAUCGGGAGGAACACCAAUGGCGAAAGCAGAUACCUGGACUAUUACUGACACUAAGCUGCGAAAGCUAGGGGAGCAAACAGG